UGAGUAUUAACGAACAAAUGUUUUCGACCGAACUCCAAACUCUUUGAUGCUCAAAACAAACCUCAAAUGAUAAAUAAAUUCUAAUAGCAAUUUGUGAAACCUCCUCUAGUGAACCAAAACUACCUUCCGAGUAUAAGGAAGAAUUACGAGUAAAAGUUUAUUUUUUCAAUUUGUCCGAAUAGUCUAAAUUUCUAAUACAUUUUUGUAUUGUAGUUAGGAGGAUAGUUCUAUACUGAAAUCCAGACUAAUAACUAAUUUUUUAA
Molecule: small RNA, 263 nt
Filed under: Arabidopsis thaliana (thale cress)
Lineage: Eukaryota; Viridiplantae; Streptophyta; Magnoliopsida; Brassicales; Brassicaceae
Description: ATSL114510
Source: RNAcentral